This 468-nucleotide ribosomal RNA is filed under the name uncultured bacterium. Its description in RNAcentral is "partial 16S ribosomal RNA". It matches the Rfam family "Bacterial small subunit ribosomal RNA", at positions 28 to 507 of the family's 1533-position model. The record is from RNAcentral.
GACGAACGCUGGCGGCGUGCUUAACACAUGCAAGUCGAACGGAAAGGCCCUGCUUUUGUGGGGUGCUCGAGUGGCGAACGGGUGAGUAACACGUGAGUAACCUGCCCUUGACUUUGGGAUAACUUCAGGAAACUGGGGCUAAUACCGGAUAGGAGCUCCUGCUGCAUGGUGGGGGUUGGAAAGUUUCGGCGGUUGGGGAUGGACUCGCGGCUUAUCAGCUUGUUGGUGGGGUAGUGGCUUACCAAGGCUUUGACGGGUAGCCGGCCUGAGAGGGUGACCGGCCACAUUGGGACUGAGAUACGGCCCAGACUACUACGGGAGGCAGCAGUGGAGAAUAGUGCACAAUGGGCGGAAGCCUGAUGCAACAACGCCGCGUGCGGGAUGACGGCCUUCGGGUUGUAAACCGCUUUCGCCUGUGACGAAGCGUGAGUGACGGUAAUGGGUAAAGAAGCACCGGCUAACUACGUG